UUAGAAAUAAAUUUAGCUGAAAAUGUAAAACAAUUAAGCUUUAAACUUGAAAUCUUGGGUAUCAGUCCCGGCAACAGACUCAUGGUUUUGAACUCAUUGCUGUGAUGUGCCGUUUGGGCUACAGCUACUAUCCCUCAUCUCCCUGCUAACACCACCCUUUUUGUUUUUCUCUUUGUUUUCUUUCUGCAUUUCAUUUUUACGUCAUCCUUUUUUGCCUGUGUUUCGAAGGCCCUGGCUGUUUCCAUAUUGUACGUUUAAUUCAUUUUGCUUAAUGAAUGAAGCAUGUAGCUUACUACUUAUUUCUCAAAAAGAAAUCUCGGGUAUCAAAUAUAUAUCAAGUCUUUUACCACCUGUAUUAGGGGCGGUUAGUGAAACUAUCGGAGUGCUAAAUCUUUUUUUUUUAAUGCAAGACAAAUAAUAUUAAAAAAUAUGAAAUUUUGUUUCUAGCAAGUUCAAAGAAUCUUCUAGAUAAUGUAUAUAAGGCAUCGAUCGUUGACUCUGAUCGCUAAUUCUAUAUAACAGUGCAGAAAUAGGUUACUCUGUUUACUUUUAAAAAUAUUCUAACUCU
RNAcentral lists this long non-coding RNA (568 nucleotides) under Ananas comosus (pineapple). RNAcentral describes it as "long non-coding RNA (ACOM_LNC010864)". The record is from RNAcentral. Lineage: Eukaryota; Viridiplantae; Streptophyta; Magnoliopsida; Poales; Bromeliaceae.